Molecule: ribosomal RNA, 460 nt
Filed under: uncultured bacterium
Lineage: Bacteria
Description: partial 16S ribosomal RNA
Rfam family: Bacterial small subunit ribosomal RNA
Source: RNAcentral
CCUACGAGUGGCAGCAGUGAGGAAUAUUGGUCAAUGGGCGCGAGCCUGAACCAGCCAAGUAGCGUGCAGGAUGACUGCCCUACGGGUUGUAAACUUCUUUUAUAAAGGAAUAAAGUGAGGCACGUGUGCCUUUUUGUAUGUACUUUAUGAAUAAGGAUCGGCUAACUCCGUGCCAGCAGCCGCGGUAAUACGGAGGAUCCGCGCGUUAUCCGGAUUUAUUGGGUUUAAAGGGUGCGUAGAUGGGUUGUUAAGUCAGUUGUGAAAGUUUGCGGCUCAACCGUGAAAUUGCAAUUGAUACUGGCAGUCUUGAGUACAGAUGAGGUAGGCGGAAUUCAUGGUGUAGCGGUGAAAUGCUUAGAUAUCACGAAGAACUCCGAUUGCGAAGGCAGCUUACUAAGCUGCCACUGACGUUGAUGCUCGAAAGUGUGGGUAUCAAACAGGAUUAGAUACCCCUGUAGUC